Molecule: ribosomal RNA, 254 nt
Filed under: uncultured bacterium
Lineage: Bacteria
Description: partial 16S ribosomal RNA
Rfam family: Bacterial small subunit ribosomal RNA
Source: RNAcentral
UACGUAGGGUGCGAGCGUUAAUCGGAAUUACUGGGCGUAAAGCGUGCGCAGGCGGUCUGUUAAGACCGAUGUGAAAUCCCCGGGCUUAACCUGGGAACUGCAUUGGUGACUGGCAGGCUUUGAGUGUGGCAGAGGGAGGUAGAAUUCCACGUGUAGCAGUGAAAUGCGUAGAGAUGUGGAGGAGUACCGAUGGCGAAGGCAGCCUCCUGGGCCAACACUGACGCUCAUGCACGAAAGCGUGGGGAUCAAACAGG